This is a long non-coding RNA of Gasterosteus aculeatus aculeatus (three-spined stickleback), 2588 nucleotides long. Lineage: Eukaryota; Metazoa; Chordata; Actinopteri; Perciformes; Gasterosteidae. The record is from Ensembl.
AUAUAUAAGUGUAUAAAUAAACGUAAUCUAUUUUUAAUACAAACAAAAAUGUUUCACUCUGAUAACAUUUCUCUAAUGAUAGAAUUGUGUGUUUCAUUGCAGUUUUUUAUAAUCACUUUGCUGCUAAUUUCAGAACCGUGAUGCCAUUUUUCACUUGUUCAAUACGACUCAAUGUAACAUCAAAGUACUAUUUCAAAAUGCAAAUCCUACGUUACAGUCGAAAUGAUCGUCCAUUCAUUUCAUUACAAUGAACUAUCAAGAGAUACAACACCUCUGAACAAUAAGUACUUGCUGCGUGAGCCUCAGUGGAUCGUUCUGUGGAAACUGACCAACAAUAUCGUUUAGAUCGUGAGGUUUCAAAAUAAUGGGACCACCUUUCACACCACGCUGCAGCCCUGGUGAUUACUUGACCAGUUCUGCCAAGACAGCAGGACGUGUGGUCGGGCGCAGGGCCCCGUUGGCUCACGUGAUGCAGCUCUCGUCCCCGAUGAGCUGGACCAGGUCUGUAGAGCCGACGGUGUGAUGAUGUCAUCGUGUGGGACAACGUCAGCUUCCACCAUCUCAAACGGUGCAUGUUUUUAUGCACAAGCAUCUACCAGCCUGUAUUUGCCCCCAUGCGCUCCUUUCCUCAACCCGACUGAGGAGCUCUUCUCCUCAUGGAGGUGAAGGUGUACGACAGGUGUCCUCACCAAACAAGCAACCCGUCUCCAGGCCUGGAUGAGGCACGCAGACCAGCGUCACGCCUGGAUGAAGCAAGCGGUUUGGCUAAAGUCCGUUGGCCGGUUGCACAAGUCCGGGUUGAUGAAAAUGAAGAUGUGUGGUAAUCAAAACCGUUUCCAUCCCAUGUGAGGAACGGCACAGUUUACAUUACACUUUUAUCCAAAGCGACUUACAUUGCAUUUUUAUUUCAUGGCUUCUACAUGUUUUGCCCGGGGAGCAACUAUGGGUCUGGUGUCUUGCUCAGGGACACUUCGACGUGGGACAUAGGGCAGCCGGGGGUCGAACCACCAACCUUGUGCUUCCCAGUGUGAUUCCACUGUGUGUACUAUUCUUUCUACUACAGUAGUACUUCUACAGGGAUGUAUUUACAUGUAGUAUGAUGAAACCUGUACUUUGUACAGCAUAUUGAAUGAUUGUCUCGUGUGCAGGAGAUCUGAACACCAAUGAGAGUGCAGAAGGACAUCAAGGCUCUGGAGGUGGUAUCAAAGUGAUCGUGGUUAACGAUGAACAUAGAACCCAUAAAACCAACGUGAAACCAUCUUCAUCAUAAUGAAUAACUACGAAUAAUAAAGCUCAUCAGACGGUUUAAACAGGUUUAAAAGUGCCUCACCUGCUUUAGUUCACCUGCAGGAAAACACCGUCACACUUCCUGGACUGAUCAGUACGGCAGUGUGUGUGUGUGUGUGUGUGUGUAAGAGUCUGUGUGUGUGUGUGUUCCUGGUUAAACAAUAACCCUCCUUCCCAUCUGUCCCUCACCUUUAUCAGGCAGUAAAACCGACAAACAUCCCUUCAGUGUGUGUGUGUGUGUGUAAGAGUCUGUGUGUGUGUAAGAGUGUGUGUGUGUGUGUGUGUAAGAGUGUGUGUGUGUGCGUGCGUGCGUGUGCGUGUGUGUGUGUAAGAGUGUGUGUGUGUGUAAGAGUCUGUGUGUGUGCGUGUGCGUGCGUGUGUGUGUGUGUGUAAGAGUGUGUGUGUGUGUAAGAGUCUGUGUGUGUGUGUGUGCGUGUGUGUGUGUGUGUAAGAGUCUGUGUGUGUGUGUGUGCGUGUGUGUGUGUAAGAGUGUGCAUGUUGUGAAGUAUUUAUUAAUCAUAAAUAAGAUGAUUUUAUGGAUUUUCAGGAUUUUUUGUUGUUGAAAUGUUCUUUUACCUGUUUUGUCUACAGAUGGAGAAUGAAUCCCUCAAACAUCAACCUCCAACCAUCGUAUCGGGAUAUAGCCUCGUUAGCUUAGCAUCUCGCAGCCUCACAGCUAAAGUCCUCCAAUCAUGAGGUCACACUCAGUCUGUUUAAAAAUACUACUAAUACUACUACUAAUAAUAAUAACAUUACUUGUUACAAAAACACAGGAACGCAAACAUGUUCCACAUGACGGAUGUUUUUAAUCAUUAAAAUGCAGAUUAGUGAUUCAACAAGUUUCCUUCUUUAAGAGGUGGAAUUAAAAAAAACACACAAAAUAUGCAGGGAGCAACUUUAAGAGGAAUAACUUUUAACAAGUGGACAAUUUGAGACGAGUUUCUGCUGACGGCCGGUCGGCAGGAGGAGGAGAAGAAGAAGAAGAAGAAGAAGAAGAAGAAGAAGAAGAAGAAGAAGGAGAAGAAGAAGAAGAGGAGCUUCAUAUGAAGAAGUACAUUUAAAGUGGAACCGGAGGAAGUGACUCCGCUGUUUCCUCUGUUACAGUUUGCAUGACAAACUCUGAUUUUAUCUUAAAUGGUAACACUCACAUCUAAAUAAAGAAAACAAGGAGAAAUUGUUGCUUCUGACGGCAGUUUGGGGGUUUUGCAGACAUGUCUUUUAUUUUGAAAAUCUGAAUAAAUAAUAACAUUGAGAUUCUGUGGAUUCAGACUUUGUGUUGGUCUCAAACCGGACUUCAAAGC